RNAcentral lists this ribosomal RNA (468 nucleotides) under uncultured bacterium. Its description in RNAcentral is "partial 16S ribosomal RNA". It matches the Rfam family "Bacterial small subunit ribosomal RNA", at positions 28 to 507 of the family's 1533-position model. The record is from RNAcentral.
GACGAACGCUGGCGGCGUGCUUAACACAUGCAAGUCGAACGGAAAGGCCCUGCUUUUGUGGGGUGCUCGAGUGGCGAACGGGUGAGUAACACGUGAGUAACCUGCCCUUGACUUUGGGAUAACUUCAGGAAACUGGGGCUAAUACCGGAUAGGAGCUCCUGCUGCAUGGUGGGGGUUGGAAAGUUUCGGCGGUUGGGGAUGGACUCGCGGCUUAUCAGCUUGUUGGUGGGGUAGUGGCUUACCAAGGCUUUGACGGGUAGCCGGCCUGAGAGGGUGACCGGCCAAAUUGGGACUGAGAUACGGCACAGACUACUACGGGAGGCAGCAGUGGGGAAGAUUGAACAAUGGGCGGAAGCCUGAUGCAGCAACGCCGCGUGCGGGAUGACGGCCUUCGGGUUGUAAACCGCUUUCGCCUGUGACGAAGCGUGAGUGACGGUAAUGGGUAAAGAAGCACCGGCUAACUACGUG